UCGCCCCUCGACUUCCAAUGUCGCCUCCGCGCCGCCAAACCCCACCCCUUCCUCCCUUCCCUUCCCCAUUCCCCUCCCUCCCCGUUCUCCUCCUCCCUCCCUCUUCCCUGCCGCCCACCCUUCCCCGUCGCGGUGGGAGCAGUGGGCCUCCACAGAGGCGCCCUUGCUGAGGGAGGGAGCAGUCGCGGGCAGAGCUGCACGGCCAUAGGCGGCGUUGCAUAGCGGAGGGCGACGGAAGGGAGGAGGGUGUCAGCGGCGAGGGGUUUUCCGCGGAGGCGGCCUUGCUGAGGGAGGAGGCAACCGUGGGCUGCGCUGCACAGCGACGAGGGCGGUGGAAGGGAGAAGGGCAUCAGCGGUGAGGGCCUCCGUCGCGGUGGGAGUAGCGGCGAGGGUGACGGAGGCCCUCGUGGCUGAUGCCCUUGCCACCCGCCUCCGCUCUACCCGCUUCACCCACCGCGACGCGGAAGUGUGGGUAGGGGGGAGGAGAACGGAGGGAGGGGAAGGGAAGGAAGGGGGCGACGGCGACGGCGGAGGAGGGGGCGGGGGGAGCCAGAGGAGGUGGUGGCAGUGCUGCGACAUUGGCGAAGAGGGCCAGCAACAGUGGCCUGUAGGGUGUCGCUGCUUGCGAUGGGUGGAAGCGACGGGCGCCGUCGCUAGUGAUGGGCGGC
Molecule: long non-coding RNA, 668 nt
Filed under: Musa acuminata (dwarf banana)
Lineage: Eukaryota; Viridiplantae; Streptophyta; Magnoliopsida; Zingiberales; Musaceae
Description: long non-coding RNA (MACU_LNC006849)
Source: RNAcentral